This 253-nucleotide ribosomal RNA is filed under the name uncultured bacterium. RNAcentral describes it as "partial 16S ribosomal RNA". It matches the Rfam family "Bacterial small subunit ribosomal RNA", at positions 524 to 776 of the family's 1533-position model. The record is from RNAcentral.
UACGUAGGUGGCGAGCGUUGUCCGGAUUUACUGGGCGUAAAGGGCGUGCAGGCGGUUUGCUAAGUCUAGGGUGAAAGCUCCCGGCUUAACUGGGAGAGGUCCUUGGAUACUGGCAGACUUGAGGAGGGUAGAGGAGAGUGGAAUUCCCGGUGUAGUGGUGAUAUGCGUAGAUAUCGGGAGGAACACCAGUGGCGAAGGCGGCUCUCUGGGCCCUACCUGACGCUGAGGCACGAAAGCGUGGGGAGCAAACAGG